UUACAAAAGGAAAAUAUAGGGAAAGGGACAAGUGUCAUGAGCUUGGAGAAAAUCACCAGAAAUUGGUGCAGUAUAACAAAGCCCCUUGAUCCCAGACUGAGCCCCCUU
Molecule: non-coding RNA, 108 nt
Organism: Procavia capensis (Cape rock hyrax)
Lineage: Eukaryota; Metazoa; Chordata; Mammalia; Hyracoidea; Procaviidae
Source: Rfam